Molecule: ribosomal RNA, 252 nt
Filed under: uncultured bacterium
Lineage: Bacteria
Description: partial 16S ribosomal RNA
Rfam family: Bacterial small subunit ribosomal RNA
Source: RNAcentral
UACGGAGGGUGCAAACGUUGCUCGGAAUUAUUGGGCGUAAAGCGCACGUAGGCGGCCUGUUAAGUCGGAUGUGAAAGCCCUCGGCUCAACCGAGGAAGUGCAUCCGAAACUAGCAGGCUUGAGUAUGGAAGAGGGUCUCGGAAUUCCCGGUGUAGAGGUGAAAUUCGUAGAUAUCGGGAGGAACACCAGUGGCGAAGGCGGAGACCUGGGCCAAUACUGACGCUGAGGUGCGAAAGCGUGGGGAGCAAACAG